UAGGGAAUCUUCCGCAAUGGGCGAAAGCCUGACGGAGCAACGCCGCGUGAGUGAUGAAGGUCUUCGGAUCGUAAAACUCUGUUAUUAGGGAAGAAUAAAUGUGUAAGUAACUAUGCACGUCUUGACGGUACCUAAUCAGAAAGCCACGGCUAACUACGUGCCAGCAGCCGCGGUAAUACGUAGGUGGCAAGCGUUAUCCGGAAUUAUUGGGCGUAAAGCGCGCGUAGGCGGUUUUUUAAGUCUGAUGUGAAAGCCCCCGGCUCAACCGGGGAGGGUCAUUGGAAACUGGUUGACUUGAGUGCAGAAGAGGAGAGUGGAAUUCCAUGUGUAGCGGUGAAAUGCGUAGAUAUAUGGAGGAACACCAGUGGCGAAGGCGACUCUCUGGUCUGUAACUGACGCUGAGGCUCGAAAGCGUGGGUAGCAAACAGG
RNAcentral lists this ribosomal RNA (429 nucleotides) under Bacteroidota bacterium. RNAcentral describes it as "Bacteroidetes bacterium partial 16S ribosomal RNA". It matches the Rfam family "Bacterial small subunit ribosomal RNA", at positions 355 to 776 of the family's 1533-position model. The record is from RNAcentral. Lineage: Bacteria; Pseudomonadati; Bacteroidota.